RNAcentral lists this ribosomal RNA (253 nucleotides) under uncultured bacterium. Its description in RNAcentral is "partial 16S ribosomal RNA". It matches the Rfam family "Bacterial small subunit ribosomal RNA", at positions 524 to 776 of the family's 1533-position model. The record is from RNAcentral.
UACGAAGGGGGCUAGCGUUGUUCGGAAUCACUGGGCGUAAAGCGCACGUAGGCGGGCGUGUCAGUCAGGGGUGAAAUCCCGGAGCUCAACUCCGGAACUGCCUCUGAUACAGCACGUCUUGAGUUCGAGAGAGGUGGGUGGAAUUCCUAGUGUAGAGGUGAAAUUCGUAGAUAUUAGGAAGAACACCGGUGGCGAAGGCGGCCCGCUGGCUCGAUACUGACGCUGAGGUGCGAAAGCGUGGGGAGCAAACAGG